AGAGUAUAAUGCAGCCAAGGAUGACUUGCCGGAACGUUGUUAAUUAUACGUAUAAAUUAUGUGAUGAACAUAUUUCUGGCAAGUUGUCCUUCGGCUAUAUUUUGCUCUCU
RNAcentral lists this microRNA precursor (110 nucleotides) under Arabidopsis halleri subsp. gemmifera. The record is from RNAcentral. Lineage: Eukaryota; Viridiplantae; Streptophyta; Magnoliopsida; Brassicales; Brassicaceae.